This 301-nucleotide ribosomal RNA is filed under the name uncultured bacterium. RNAcentral describes it as "partial 16S ribosomal RNA". It matches the Rfam family "Bacterial small subunit ribosomal RNA", at positions 509 to 807 of the family's 1533-position model. The record is from RNAcentral.
CAGUCGCCACGGUAAUACGAAGGGGGCUAGCGUUGCUCGGAAUUACUGGGCGUAAAGGGAGCGUAGGCGGAUGAAUUAGUCAGGGGUGAAAUCCCGGGGCUCAACCUCGGAACUGCCUUUGAUACUGUUCAUCUUGAGUAUGGGAGAGGUGUGUGGAACUCCGAGUGUAGAGGUGAAAUUCGUAGAUAUUCGGAAGAACACCAGUGGCGAAGGCGACACACUGGCCCAUUACUGACGCUGAGGCUCGAAAGCGUGGGGAGCAAACUGGAUUAGAUACCCCUGUAGUCCCUGUCUCUUAUAC